GGCGUUCCCCAACGGAAAUAUGCAAAUAUAGCUAGAACGCGCCAAUUGGAUCACGCUAUCUCGUGUUUUGGGGUUUUCCCUCCUUGCUUGUUCUGCCCACUAUGGCUCUUUGUACCCAUUUGAAACGACAGCCUGUGGUCUAUCUUGUUUUAGUUAUACAAAUAUUUGCUUGUAUCUCACCUGCCGGCAAGCCAGAUAGAAUCCUCCACUUGUUUCGACCAUAUGACAGGGAACGCCCAGGGUGUCAGCCACAUGGCAUCAGCCCUGGUUUCGAGCAGAGGUGUACCCCACCCACCCCAUGGUGUCUUGGAGGUCACGUAUUCCAGAACAUGCAAUCCUUCUCUGUAGUUUGAACCAAACGCUGUCAAAGGGGAAGUAAAGCAUCCUUCAUAUUUAACUAACAAGAUGUCGACCUAAAAACUAGCCAAGUACCUCAACUCCUCCACUGAGCAGAUUUCUUAAAGGGUCUCCCUGUUUACAACGAGAGCAAUUUCAGCCUGUUCCAUGCAGACCCUGUGUGCAAAGCAUCGAACCGAAGACCGUCCGUGUACCUCCCGACCUGCGAGUACCCCUCAGAACAGAUCAUUGUCACGGAGAAAACAAAUAUCCUCCUUCGCUACCUUCACCAACAGUGGGACAAAAAGAAUGCAGCGAAGAAGAGGGAACAGGAUCAAGGAGAGGGAGGGAGUCCAGCACCUCCACACAAAAUUGCAAGGACAGAUAGCCAAGAGAUGAACGAGGACUCUUAGGAGUGUGUGUACGGAUGCGUGCAUCUGGAGGAAGUACAUACAGGCACACAACAGACAUGACUAUAAAGACAUACGAGACACUCACACUUUGACAAACAACCUGAGAAAAUGUCCACCCUGGUUUGGGAAAAUGAAAAAAACAGUGGCUUUUUUUGUUACCUUCAAAGAGUUUCCUGCCUUGUCUAGUGCCCUGUUUUCAGCUUCACUGCCUAGCCCUGACCACAUGGGGCACUGCAACAUCUUUCCACACAGUUUGCUUCAGCAGACCCAAUACACUGAACUUCUGCCUGCCACAGCAGGGGAGGACCCAAGGAUGUAUAUAAACCCUGGAUUGAUGAUGCAAUGUAUUGGCCAUUGAGAGGCUUUGAAGCCACUGGUCGGCCAUAUUGGCAAUCUCCAGUAGGAGCAGUCCGCCGUAG
This 1168-nucleotide long non-coding RNA is filed under the name Salmo salar (Atlantic salmon). RNAcentral describes it as "lncRNA (ENSSSAG00000115492.1)". The record is from RNAcentral. Lineage: Eukaryota; Metazoa; Chordata; Actinopteri; Salmoniformes; Salmonidae.